CCCCAGUUAUAUUACUGAGCUGCAUUUCUUUUGAUUUUUUUUAGUUGAGAGGACAGAGGAAUGGCCAUAACGACCAUGUCUGACUCCAGCAGGCUUACAGAGGUGUCUACACUGGCUUAUCUGGACGAAGGGACCUCAACGUCAGACACAGAGUGUGGAGAGGAGCCUGAUCUCCAGCCAAGAGCUCUGGAGGAACCAGAAGACACUGGAAUAUCAGACAUCGUGUCGAGGGCUGAGGAAUAUCAAACGUAUGGCUUUACAAGUUUAGAAGACAACAACAUCCAGUCGUGCAUCAGCAACAGGUCAGAUGUGUCAUUCCCUUCAAGUGAGAGAGAGAAGAAAUCUACAGCUUGCUGCCUCAGAAAACAUCACAGGAAACACGGAACAGAGAUUAAAGACACGAGGAAAACGAGGGGGACGUGUAGACAAGACAGAGCAAGAACAAGAAGAAAUGCUCCAUUACUUUCUGACCAGAAGACCAGCGGCUCCUCAAGAUGCUCCAAACCAAGCACUGAAGAUCAAGACAAGUUCUCCUCGACACCUCAACCUCAGCAGGUCACUCCGGAUCUCCAUCUGUGGGAUUGUCCUCAAGAUGUUUCCCGUAUACGCCUUCAAAAGCUGGAGGUCGACUUCCCUUCGACCUUUGAGUCUCACAGUUUGAUAUCUGACGGUGUGGAACCAAACUUUGACUCUGAGUUUGCAUAUAUCUAUGCUGAGAGCAUCAAGGGAUGUGACUCUACUUGUUGCACGACUCCAGGAGACUGUAAUACCCACAAUCCUCUUGUCAAAACUGAUACAAGCCCUGAAAGAGACCCUGAAUCUGUCUGGAACAGCUUUGAGGAAGAAUCGGAAGACUCGGAUUGUGAUUUAUAUAUGUUUGCUUGCAGUUUAGCAGCUACUGCAGGUUCCAGGUUGAACGCUGACUGCUUUGGGUCUUUACUAGAUGAUUUUGACUCGACUUGUAUUUAUACAGACUGGGAAAGGACAGAAACCGAGCAGGGUUACAGUCCAGCCGAAGCGGAGUGGUCCUCUGAGAGUUCAUGUUCCCCCGCCGACUGUGACUCUUACUGUACCACAGACAGACAAACCAGCAGCUCAGAUUCAGACAGCUGCCGUUUAGAGGCUCUCGGUGACAUCAAAUGUCCUGAAGUGUUUUUGCCGGGAUUUGAAGGUUGCUUUGACUGCUGUGAUGCAGCUGAAGAUGUCUGCAGAGACACAGAGAGCGAUCCUGAGUCUUUUUGCUCCAGACGGGAUACAGCUGAACUGUGCGGUGUUGUGACUCAAAUGGACCGACGGCAUUUCUCUGAGUUUUUCUGUGAGAUGAUUAAAGAAGUGACGCAGGAGAAAAUGAAUGUAAAUGAGGG
RNAcentral lists this long non-coding RNA (1364 nucleotides) under Sinocyclocheilus grahami. RNAcentral describes it as "lncRNA (ENSSGRG00000048175.1)". The record is from RNAcentral. Lineage: Eukaryota; Metazoa; Chordata; Actinopteri; Cypriniformes; Cyprinidae.